AUGUCCUAUUCAGGAGCAGCUACAGCAGUCAUGCCUAGGUGUGAAGAUCACACACUGACCUCACCCAUGCUGUCUCUGGCCACUUCAUCACAACCAAUGCUUAAUAUUGGACGUGGAUCUGCCAGUCCCCGGGGAAUGGGUUGAAUGGAU
Homo sapiens (human) is the source of this 150-nucleotide non-coding RNA. The record is from the annotation of a RefSeq genome assembly. Lineage: Eukaryota; Metazoa; Chordata; Mammalia; Primates; Hominidae.